UUCAAAGUUUCCUUAGGAUAGCUAGAGCCUACGAGCGAGUUUUAUUGAAUAAAGCCAAUGAUUAGAGGCAUCGGGGGCACAAUGCCCUCGACCUAUUCUCAAACUUUAAAUAGGUAAGAUGGUGUGGUUGCUUUAUUGAGCCACUCCACAAAAUCGAGAGCUCCAAGUGGACCAUUUAUGGUAAGAUAAAUUGGCGAUGAGGGAUGAACCGGAAGCUAGAUUAUGGUGCCCAACUGUGCGCUAACCUAAGGUUAGCCUUAUUUAUACAUGAAAGACCCUUAUUUAGUAUUUUGCUAUGCAUGAGUCCAUAUUUGUAUAUUUAGAGUGUAGAA
Molecule: non-coding RNA, 332 nt
Organism: Cajanus cajan (pigeon pea)
Lineage: Eukaryota; Viridiplantae; Streptophyta; Magnoliopsida; Fabales; Fabaceae
Source: Rfam